CCUACGGGAGGCAGCAGUGAGGAAUAUUGGUCAAUGGCCGAGAGGCUGAACCAGCCAAGUCGCGUGAGGGAAGAAUGUCCUAUGGAUUGUAAACCUCUUUUGUCAGGGAGCAAAGUCACCCACGUGUGGGUGUUGGAGAGUACCUGAAGAAUAAGCAUCGGCAAACUCCGUGCCAGCAGCCGCGGUAAUACGGGGGAUGCGAGCGUUAUCCGGAUUUAUUGGGUUAAAAGGGUGCGUAGGCGGGUUAUCAAGUCAGCGGUAAAAUCGUGGAGCUCAACUCCAUCCAGCCGUUGAAACUGAUGAUCGUGAGUGGGCGUAAGGUAUGCGGAAUGCGUGGUGUAGUGGUGAAAUGCAUAGAUAUCACGCAGAACUCCGAUGGCGAAGGCAGCAUACCGGCGCCCGACUGACGCUGAAGCACGAAAGCGUGGGUAUCGAACAGGAUUAGAUACCCGGGUAGUC
RNAcentral lists this ribosomal RNA (459 nucleotides) under uncultured bacterium. Its description in RNAcentral is "partial 16S ribosomal RNA". It matches the Rfam family "Bacterial small subunit ribosomal RNA", at positions 338 to 795 of the family's 1533-position model. The record is from RNAcentral.